UUUAAGGUGUGUCCCCAACCAUCACCUUGGGAAGGCAGCGGAACCUUGCUCAUGAUGAAGAGGAUCACCUCGGAGCGCUGAGCCGGUGGCGGCGAUGACGGCAGCUUCCGACAGGACCUCCACGAUGCCCGCCCGCACCGUGG
Molecule: non-coding RNA, 143 nt
Organism: Odocoileus virginianus texanus
Lineage: Eukaryota; Metazoa; Chordata; Mammalia; Artiodactyla; Cervidae
Source: RefSeq, a predicted model, not a curated record